AUGAAGAGAUCUGAACCAUUGAAUCUUGAAGUCUGUUAUGGAUGGAUGGUAGAGAUGAACUCGGUUAAGAGGUUUUGGGGCCUGUUCCUGAUCUGUGUUGGGCUGGUUCUAGAGCAUGUUUACGGGCUGCUAAACUAUUUUUCUGAUUGGAUUUGUGUACCGGUUUUCUGCAGCCUGCAUUGGAACUGGUUCAUGGAAUGA
Non-coding RNA from Vicia faba (fava bean), 201 nucleotides. NCBI's taxonomy places the organism in Eukaryota, Viridiplantae, Streptophyta, Magnoliopsida, Fabales, Fabaceae. The record is from the annotation of a GenBank genome assembly.